This 253-nucleotide ribosomal RNA is filed under the name uncultured bacterium. Its description in RNAcentral is "partial 16S ribosomal RNA". It matches the Rfam family "Bacterial small subunit ribosomal RNA", at positions 524 to 776 of the family's 1533-position model. The record is from RNAcentral.
UACGGAGGGUGCGAGCGUUAUCCGGAAUUACUGGGUUUAAAGGGUGCGUAGGCGGCCAAGUAAGUCAGGAGUGAAAGUUUGCGGCUCAACCGUAAAAUUGCUUUUGAUACUGCUUAGCUAGAAUUAGGAUGAGGUCAGCGGAAUGUGGCAUGUAGCGGUGAAAUGCAUAGAUAUGCCAUAGAACACCAAUUGCGAAGGCAGCUGACUAGACCUGGAUUGACGCUGAGGCACGAAAGCGUGGGGAUCGAACAGG